This 304-nucleotide ribosomal RNA is filed under the name uncultured bacterium. Its description in RNAcentral is "partial 16S ribosomal RNA". It matches the Rfam family "Bacterial small subunit ribosomal RNA", at positions 509 to 807 of the family's 1533-position model. The record is from RNAcentral.
CAGCAGUCGCCGCGGGAAUACGUAGGUGGCAAGCGUUGUCCGGAAUUAUUGGGCGUAAAGGGCUCGCAGGCGGUUUCUUAAGUCUGAUGUGAAAGCCCCUGGCUCAACCGGGGAGGGUCAUUGGAAACUGGGAAACUUGAGUGCAGAAGAGGAGAGUGGAAUUCCACGUGUAGCGGUGAAAUGCGUAGAGAUGUGGAGGAACACCAGUGGCGAAGGCGACUCUCUGGUCUGUAACUGACGCUGAGGAGCGAAAGCGUGGGGAGCGAACAGGAUUAGAUACCCCAGUAGUCCCUGUCUCUUAUAC